AGUGAACGCUGGCGGUAGGCCUAACACAUGCAAGUCGAACGGCAGCACAGUAAGAGCUUGCUCGUACGGGUGGCGAGUGGCGGGCGGGUGAGGAAUACAUCGGAAUCUACUUUUUCGUGGGUGAUAACGUAGGGAAACUUACGCUAAUACCUCAUACGACCUACGGGUGAAAGCAGGGGAUCUUCGGAACUUGCGCGAUUGAAUGAGCCGAUGUCGGAUUAGCUAGUUGGCGGGGUAAAGGCCCACCAAGGCGACGAUCUGUAGCUGGUCUGAGAGGAUGAUCAGCCACACUGGAACUGAGACACGGUCCAGACUCCUACGGGAGGCAGCAGUGGGGAAUAUUGGACAAUGGGCGCAAGCCUGAUCCAGCCAUACCGCGUGGGUGAAGAAGGCCUUCGGGUUGUAAAGCCCUUUUGUUGGGAAAGAAAAGCAGCAGGUUAAUACCCCGCUGUUCUGACGGUACCCAAAGAAUAAGCACCGGCUAACUUCGUG
This 492-nucleotide ribosomal RNA is filed under the name uncultured bacterium. RNAcentral describes it as "partial 16S ribosomal RNA". It matches the Rfam family "Bacterial small subunit ribosomal RNA", at positions 29 to 507 of the family's 1533-position model. The record is from RNAcentral.